RNAcentral lists this non-coding RNA (96 nucleotides) under unclassified sequences. RNAcentral describes it as "wcaG RNA". It matches the Rfam family "wcaG RNA". The record is from RNAcentral.
UUUGGUUUCUUGAUUCCUAAAAUCAAGUGGUGCGGAUGGAGAUAACUCCCGCCAGGUUUCUUGUUUCCUGUAAAAGAACAAGUGGCGUGCAUGGAG